GAUGAACGCUGGCGGCGUGCCUAAUACAUGCAAGUCGAGCGAACAGACGAGGAGCUUGCUCCUCUGACGUUAGCGGCGGACGGGUGAGUAACACGUGGAUAACCUACCUAUAAGACUGGGAUAACUUCGGGAAACCGGAGCUAAUACCGGAUAAUAUAUUGAACCGCAUGGUUCAAUAGUGAAAGACGGUUUUGCUGUCACUUAUAGAUGGAUCCGCGCCGCAUUAGCUAGUUGGUAAGGUAACGGCUUACCAAGGCAACGAUGCGUAGCCGACCUGAGAGGGUGAUUGGCCAAACUGGAACUGAGACACGGUCCAGACUCCUACGGGAGGCAGCAGUAGGGAAUCUUCCGCAAUGGGCGAAAGCUUGACGGAGCAACGCCGCGUGAGUGAUGAAGGUCUUCGGAUCGUAAAACUCUGUUAUUAGGGAAGAACAAAUGUGUAAGUAACUAUGCACGUCUUGACGGUACCUAAUCAGAAAGCCACGGCUAACUACGUG
RNAcentral lists this ribosomal RNA (497 nucleotides) under uncultured bacterium. RNAcentral's name for it is "partial 16S ribosomal RNA". It matches the Rfam family "Bacterial small subunit ribosomal RNA", at positions 28 to 507 of the family's 1533-position model. The record is from RNAcentral.